This 1070-nucleotide ribosomal RNA is filed under the name uncultured Moraxellaceae bacterium. RNAcentral describes it as "bacterial SSU rRNA". It matches the Rfam family "Bacterial small subunit ribosomal RNA", at positions 336 to 1397 of the family's 1533-position model. Lineage: Bacteria; Pseudomonadati; Pseudomonadota; Gammaproteobacteria; Moraxellales; Moraxellaceae. The record is from RNAcentral.
CUCCUACGGGAGGCAGCAGUGGGGAAUAUUGGACAAUGGGGGGAACCCUGAUCCAGCCAUGCCGCGUGUGUGAAGAAGGCCUUAUGGUUGUAAAGCACUUUAAGCGAGGAGGAGGCUACUUUAGUUAAUACCUAGAGAUAGUGGACGUUACUCGCAGAAUAAGCACCGGCUAACUCUGUGCCAGCAGCCGCGGUAAUACAGAGGGUGCAAGCGUUAAUCGGAUUUACUGGGCGUAAAGCGCGCGUAGGCGGCUAAUUAAGUCAAAUGUGAAAUCCCCGAGCUUAACUUGGGAAUUGCAUUCGAUACUGGUUAGCUAGAGUGUGGGAGAGGAUGGUAGAAUUCCAGGUGUAGCGGUGAAAUGCGUAGAGAUCUGGAGGAAUACCGAUGGCGAAGGCAGCCAUCUGGCCUAACACUGACGCUGAGGUGCGAAAGCAUGGGGAGCAAACAGGAUUAGAUACCCUGGUAGUCCACGCCGUAAACGAUGAUAACUAGCUGUCCGGGGACUUGGUCUUUGGGUGGCGCAGCUAACGCAUUAAGUUAUCCGCCUGGGGAGUACGGCCGCAAGGUUAAAACUCAAAUGAAUUGACGGGGGCCUGCACAAGCGGUGGAGCAUGUGGUUUAAUUCGAAGCAACGCGCAGAACCUUACCAGCGUUUGACAUGUCCGGACGAUUUCCAGAGAUGGAUCUCUUCCCUUCGGGGACUGGAACACAGGUGCUGCAUGGCUGUCGUCAGCUCGUGCCGUGAGAUGUUGGGUUAAGUCCCGCAACGAGCGCAACCCUCGCCUUUAGUUACCAUCAUUCAGUUGGGGACUCUAAAGGAACCGCCGGUGAUAAGCCGGAGGAAGGUGGGGAUGACGUCAAGUCCUCAUGGCCCUUACGCGCUGGGCUACACACGUGCUACAAUGGGAAGUACAACGAGUCGCGAAGUCGCGAGGCUAAGCUAAUCUCUUAAAGCUUCUCUCAGUUCGGAUUGUAGGCUGCAACUCGCCUACAUGAAGCCGGAAUCGCUAGUAAUCGCGGAUCAGCACGCCGCGGUGAAUACGUUCCCGGGCCUUGUACACACCGCCCGU